This 660-nucleotide long non-coding RNA is filed under the name Phascolarctos cinereus (koala). RNAcentral describes it as "lncRNA (ENSPCIG00000031188.1)". The record is from RNAcentral. Lineage: Eukaryota; Metazoa; Chordata; Mammalia; Diprotodontia; Phascolarctidae.
CUCUCACUCCCUCAUUCUCUCUCCCCAAAAGGGGUGUUAACUAAUCGUAUGCAGACAUCUCCUCCAGAGCCUCGCACACUAUCCAGCUGGAAAGGAGGGAGCCAGGAGUGCAGGACUGGGACAGGGGGAGUUUCUCUGAGAGAAUCAGGGCUUCCUUCUAUCCUUACCCCCCACCCCUUCCCUGGAUGGAGUUCCGCUGGGCUAGAGGAGCUGGGGUGGGUGUGCGGGGAUCCUCUCAGCUCCGGAGAGCCUUCAGUGAGCAUGUCAAGGAUUCCACCAGCAGAGCCUGGGAGGUGUUCUGGAAGAGGGCAAGGGAGCGGAGGCUAACAGGGGCUCCCAGAGGCGACUCUCCCCACCCAGCCUGGAAGGAGGGGAAGUGGAGGGCAGACAGCUGCGUUCCCUGGUCUGCAUGCAGUACAACAUCUGGGCUCUCAGUACAGCCAGAGCAGCAGCGUUGGAGGGCUCUGAGCGGGGCAGUGUCUGACCAGCCCUCCGAGCCUGGUCCCCCAAUGGAAGGUAGGAAGCAUCUGCAGUUCAGAUUCCAAGUCUGAGGGAGCAUUGGCAUAUGGGGGCAUGGUAGGGGUGAGGGAUAACCAUGUGGGGAAUACCGUGAAGGUUAUGGAGAUGGACUCUGGGAAAUACAAGAGAACAGAGAAAAUG